AAUCCAUAGGUUAAUGAGGCGAACCGGGGGAACUGAAACAUCUAAGUACCCCGAGGAAAAGAAAUCAACCGAGAUUCCCCCAGUAGCGGCGAGCGAACGGGGAGGAGCCCAGAGCCUGAAUCAGCAUGUGUGUUAGUGGAAGCGUCUGGAAAGGCGCGCGAUACAGGGUGACAGCCCCGUACACAAAAGCGCAUGUGCUGUGAGCUCGAUGAGUAGGGCGGGACACGUGGUAUCCUGUCUGAAUAUGGGGGGACCAUCCUCCAAGGCUAAAUACUCCUGACUGACCGAUAGUGAACCAGUACCGUGAGGGAAAGGCGAAAAGAACCCCGGCGAGGGGAGUGAAAAAGAACCUGAAACCGUGUACGUACAAGCAGUGGGAGCCCCACCACCAAAGCAUUCUCUGGUGUUGAAGGCCCUGCAAA
Molecule: ribosomal RNA, 422 nt
Filed under: Salmonella enterica subsp. enterica serovar Infantis
Lineage: Bacteria; Pseudomonadati; Pseudomonadota; Gammaproteobacteria; Enterobacterales; Enterobacteriaceae
Also listed under: 1 other name
Description: partial 23S ribosomal RNA
Rfam family: Bacterial large subunit ribosomal RNA
Source: RNAcentral